Molecule: ribosomal RNA, 497 nt
Filed under: uncultured bacterium
Lineage: Bacteria
Description: partial 16S ribosomal RNA
Rfam family: Bacterial small subunit ribosomal RNA
Source: RNAcentral
GAUGAACGCUGGCGGCGUGCCUAAUACAUGCAAGUCGAGCGAACAGACGAGGAGGUUGCUCCUCUGACGUUAGCGGCGGACGGGUGAGUAACACGUGGAUAACCUACCUAUAAGACUGGGAUAACUUCGGGAAACCGGAGCUAAUACCGGAUAAUAUAUUGAGCCGCAUGGUUCAAUAGUGAAAGACGGUUUUGCUGUCACUUAUAGAUGGAUCCGCGCCGCAGUAGCUAGGUGGUAAGGGAAGGGCUUACCAAGGCAACGAUGCGAAGCCGACCUGAGCGAGUGAUCGGCCACACGGGAACUGAGACACCGUCGAGACUCCUACGGGAGGCAACAGUAGGGAAUCUUCCGCAAUGGGCGAAAGCCUGACGGAGCAACGCCGCGUGAGUGAUGAAGGUCUUCGGAUCGUAAAGCUCUGUUAUUAGGGAAGAACAAAUGUGUAAGUAACUAUGCACGUAUUGACGGUACCUAAUCAGAAAGCCACGGCUAACUACGUG